UGGGGAAUAGCUCAGUGGUAGAGUGCAUGCCUAGCAUGCAUAAAGCCCUGGGUUCAAUCCCUAGUACCUCCA
RNAcentral lists this transfer RNA (72 nucleotides) under Camelus bactrianus (Bactrian camel). It matches the Rfam family "tRNA". Rfam says of the family: Transfer RNA (tRNA) molecules are approximately 80 nucleotides in length. Their secondary structure includes four short double-helical elements and three loops (D, anti-codon, and T loops). Lineage: Eukaryota; Metazoa; Chordata; Mammalia; Artiodactyla; Camelidae. The record is from Rfam by way of RNAcentral. RNAcentral also lists the same sequence under 3 other names.